This 745-nucleotide long non-coding RNA is filed under the name Cricetulus griseus (Chinese hamster). RNAcentral describes it as "lncRNA (ENSCGRG00015034397.1)". The record is from RNAcentral. Lineage: Eukaryota; Metazoa; Chordata; Mammalia; Rodentia; Cricetidae.
AGAUUCCUUCUUAGUUGAACUCAAGGCAAACUGAAACACUCCAAAGUCAUCUAUAAAUGGCUAUUUUAUUGUUAUCUUUGCAGAAGGAAGAGACUCCAGCUUCUCUUCUGCCAUCCUCUCAUCACUGGACUAAUUCAAUGUGACAAACUUCCUGAGGAUGCCCACUUUGAACAAGGACAGAUGUACCAAUGUCCAAUAUUCCCAUCCCUCCAGCAAGAACUGAAGGAUUUCUUAUGGGUACUUCACUGUCAGGCUACUAAUGACAUCAGCCACAAUCUGAAGCCACUGUUUUUCCUGGUCUUCUAAAAGAUCUACUAGACAAGUGGAGUAUAUAUGGAGAUGAAGCCCUGGCAAUGUAAGAAAGAGAUCAGCAUUUCCCCAACAGGAAGGAAUAGGUCUGAGGUCCGAGGAGAGAUCUGGCACUAGGCACACUUCCAGAGGUCUACAAGGAUUACAUGAACUGACAAUCUAGGCAAUGGUGGAGAGGAUAACCUAAACGCCCUUCCCCUAAAAUGAGAUUGAUGACUACUUUUUAUGCCAUCCUAGAGCCCUCAUCCAGUGGCUGAUGGAAGCAGAGGCAGACAUCCACAGAUACACAUGGAACUGAACUCUGGAACUUAGUUGCAGAGAGGGAGGAAUGAAGAUUGAAGGGGUCAGUACCAGGUUGGAGAAACCCACAGAAACAGCUGGCCUGAACACAUCGACCCCAGAUGCUGUCUGGGAGGCCAGUACAGGACUGAUCCAG